Molecule: ribosomal RNA, 1238 nt
Filed under: Arthrobacter sp. LSJ-5
Lineage: Bacteria; Bacillati; Actinomycetota; Actinomycetes; Micrococcales; Micrococcaceae
Description: bacterial SSU rRNA
Rfam family: Bacterial small subunit ribosomal RNA
Source: RNAcentral
UUAACUCUGGGAUAAGCCUGGGAAACUGGGUCUAAUACCGGAUAUGACUCCUCAUCGCAUGGUGGGGGGUGGAAAGCUUUAUUGGGGUUUUGGAUGGACUCCCGGCCUAUCAGCUUGUUGGUGAGGUAAUGGCUUACCAAGGCAACAACGGGUAGCCGGCCUGAAAGGGUGACCGGCCACACUGGGACUGAAACACGGCCCAAACUCCUACGGGAGGCACCAGUGGGGAAUAUUGCACAAGGGGCGAAAGCCUGAUGCAGCGACCCCGCGUGAGGGAUGACGGCCUUCGGGUUGUAAACCUCUUUCAGUAGGGAAGAAGCGAAAGUGACGGUACCUGCAAAAAAAGCGCCGGCUAACUACGUGCCAGCAGCCGCGGUAAUACGUAGGGCGCAAGCGUUAUCCGGAAUUAUUGGGCGUAAAGAGCUCGUAGGCGGUUUGUCGCGUCUGCCGUGAAAGUCCGGGGCUCAACUCCGGAUCUGCGGUGGGUACGGGCAGACUAGAGUGAUGUAGGGGAGACUGGAAUUCCUGGUGUAGCGGUGAAAUGCGCAGAUAUCAGGAGGAACACCGAUGGCGAAGGCAGGUCUCUGGGCAUUAACUGACGCUGAGGAGCGAAAGCAUGGGGAGCGAACAGGAUUAGAUACCCUGGUAGUCCAUGCCGUAAACGUUGGGCACUAGGUGUGGGGGACAUUCCACGUUUUCCGCGCCGUAGCUAACGCAUUAAGUGCCCCGCCUGGGGAGUACGGCCGCAAGGCUAAAACUCAAAGGAAUUGACGGGGGCCCGCACAAGCGGCGGAGCAUGCGGAUUAAUUCGAUGCAACGCGAAGAACCUUACCAAGGCUUGACAUGAACCGGUAAUACCUGGAGACAGGUGCCCCGCUUGCGGUCGGUUUACAGGUGGUGCAUGGUUGUCGUCAGCUCGUGUCGUGAGAUGUUGGGUUAAGUCCCGCAACGAGCGCAACCCUCGUUCUAUGUUGCCAGCACGUGAUGGUGGGGACUCAUAGGAGACUGCCGGGGUCAACUCGGAGGAAGGUGGGGACGACGUCAAAUCAUCAUGCCCCUUAUGUCUUGGGCUUCACGCAUGCUACAAUGGCCGGUACAAAGGGUUGCGAUACUGUGAGGUGGAGCUAAUCCCAAAAAGCCGGUCUCAGUUCGGAUUGGGGUCUGCAACUCGACCCCAUGAAGUCGGAGUCGCUAGUAAUCGCAGAUCAGCAACGCUGCGGUGAAUACGUUCCCGGGCC